CAGUCGAACGAGAGCGAUGGAAGCUUGCUUCUAUCAAUCUUACUGGCGAACGGGUGAGUAACGCGUAAUCAACCUGCCCUUCAGAGGGGGACAACAGUUGGAAACGACUGCUAAUACCGCAUACGAUCUAAUCUCGGCAUCGAGGAUAGAUGAAAGGUGGCCUCUACAUGUAAGCUAUCACUGAAGGAGGGGAUUGCGUCUGAUUAGCUAGUUGGAGGGGUAACGGCCCACCAAGGCGAUGAUCAGUAGCCGGUCUGAGAGGAUGAACGGCCACAUUGGGACUGAGACACGGCCCAGACUCCUACGGGAGGCAGCAGUGGGGAAUCUUCCGCAAUGGACGAAAGUCUGACGGAGCAACGCCGCGUGAGUGAUGACGGCCUUCGGGUUGUAAAGCUCUGUUAAUCGGGACGAAAGGCCUUCUUGCGAAUAGUGAGAAGGAUUGACGGUACCGGAAUAGAAAGCCACGGCUAACUACGUGCCAGCAGCCGCGGUAAUACGUAGGUGGCAAGCGUUGUCCGGAAUUAUUGGGCGUAAAGCGCGCGCAGGCGGUCUGUCAAGUCGGAUGUGAAAUCCCCGGGCUCAACCUGGGAACUGCAUCCGAAACUGGCAGGCUAGAGUCUUGUAGAGGGGGGUAGAAUUCCAGGUGUAGCGGUGAAAUGCGUAGAGAUCUGGAGGAAUACCGGUGGCGAAGGCGGCCCCC
Molecule: ribosomal RNA, 700 nt
Filed under: uncultured bacterium
Lineage: Bacteria
Description: bacterial SSU rRNA
Rfam family: Bacterial small subunit ribosomal RNA
Source: RNAcentral